Molecule: ribosomal RNA, 253 nt
Filed under: uncultured bacterium
Lineage: Bacteria
Description: partial 16S ribosomal RNA
Rfam family: Bacterial small subunit ribosomal RNA
Source: RNAcentral
UACGAGAGGUGCAAGCGUUAUUCGGAAUCAUUGGGCGUAAAGGGCGCGUAGACGGCAUGUUAAGUCUGUUGUUAAAUCCUUCGGCUUAACCGAAGAUAUGCAGUGGAAACUGGCAAGCUAGAGUAUGGAAGAGAGAAGUGGAAUUCUUGGAGUAGCGGUAAAAUGCGUAGAUCUCAAGAGGAACACCAAUGGCGAAGGCAGCUUCUUGGUCCAUUACUGACGUUGAGGCGCGAAAGCGUGGGGAGCAAACAGG